UAGGGAAUCUUCGGCAAUGGACGAAAGUCUGACCGAGCAACGCCGCGUGAGUGAAGAAGGUUUUCGGAUCGUAAAACUCUGUUGUUAGAGAAGAACAAGGACGUUAGUAACUGAACGUCCCCUGACGGUAUCUAACCAGAAAGCUACGGCUAACUACGUGCCAGCAGCCGCGGUAAUACGUAGGUGGCAAGCGUUGUCCGGAUUUAUUGGGCGUAAAGCGAGCGCAGGCGGUUUCUUAAGUCUGAUGUGAAAGCCCCCGGCUCAACCGGGGAGGGUCAUUGGAAACUGGGAGACUUGAGUGCAGAAGAGGAGAGUGGAAUUCCAUGUGUAGCGGUGAAAUGCGUAGAUAUAUGGAGGAACACCAGUGGCGAAGGCGGCUCUCUGGUCUGUAACUGACGCUGAGGCGCGAAAGCGUGGGGAGCAAACAGG
RNAcentral lists this ribosomal RNA (429 nucleotides) under Gemmatimonadota bacterium. RNAcentral's name for it is "Gemmatimonadetes bacterium partial 16S ribosomal RNA". It matches the Rfam family "Bacterial small subunit ribosomal RNA", at positions 355 to 776 of the family's 1533-position model. The record is from RNAcentral. Lineage: Bacteria; Pseudomonadati; Gemmatimonadota.